AACGAACGCUGGCGGCAGGCUUAACACAUGCAAGUCGAACGCUGUAGCAAUACAGAGUGGCGCACGGGUGAGUAACGCGUGUGAACGUGCCCUUUAGCACGGGAUAACAUCGGGAAACUGAUGCUAAUACCGUAUAUUCCCUGAGGGGGAAAGAUUUAUCGCUAAAGGAUCGGCCCGCGUUAGAUUAGGUAGUUGGUGGGGUAAUGGCCUACCAAGCCUACGAUCUAUAGCCGGUCUGAGAGGACGAUCGGCCACACUGGAGCUGAGACACGGUCCAGACUCCUACGGGAGGCAGCAGUGGGGAAUAUUGGUCAAUGGGGGAAACCCUGAACCAGCCAUGCCGCGUGAGUGAUGAAGGCCUUAGGGUUGUAAAGCUCUUUCACCGGUGAAGAUAAUGACGGUAACCGAAGAAGAAGCCCCGGCUAACUUCGUGCCAGCCGCCGCGGUAA
RNAcentral lists this ribosomal RNA (449 nucleotides) under uncultured bacterium. RNAcentral describes it as "partial 16S ribosomal RNA". It matches the Rfam family "Bacterial small subunit ribosomal RNA", at positions 29 to 523 of the family's 1533-position model. The record is from RNAcentral.